CAGUAGCCACGGUAAUACGAAGGGGGCUAGCGUUGUUCGGAUUUACUGGGCGUAAAGGGCGCGUAGGCGGACUGAUAAGUCAGGGGUGAAUCCCAAGGCUCAACCUUGGAACUGCCUUUGAUACUGUUUGUCUUGAGUUCGAGAGAGGUAAGUGGAACUGCGAGUGUAGAGGUGAAAUUCGUAGAUAUUCGCAAGAACACCAGUGGCGAAGGCGGCUUACUGGCUCGAAACUGACGCUGAGGCGCGAAAGCGUGGGGAGCAAACAGGAUUAGAUACCCGCGUAGUCCCUGUCUCUUAUACA
This 301-nucleotide ribosomal RNA is filed under the name uncultured bacterium. Its description in RNAcentral is "partial 16S ribosomal RNA". It matches the Rfam family "Bacterial small subunit ribosomal RNA", at positions 509 to 808 of the family's 1533-position model. The record is from RNAcentral.